Molecule: ribosomal RNA, 460 nt
Filed under: uncultured bacterium
Lineage: Bacteria
Description: partial 16S ribosomal RNA
Rfam family: Bacterial small subunit ribosomal RNA
Source: RNAcentral
CCUACGGGAGGCAGCAGUGAGGAAUAUUGGUCAAUGGACGAGAGUCUGAACCAGCCAAGUAGCGUGAAGGAUGACUGCCCUAUGGGUUGUAAACUUCUUUUAUAUGGGAAUAAAAUGUUCCACGUGUGGGAUUUUGUAUGUACCAUAUGAAUAAGGAUCGGCUAACUCCGUGCCAGCAGCCGCGGUAAUACGGAGGAUCCGAGCGUUAUCCGGAUUUAUUGGGUUUAAAGGGAGCGUAGGUGGAUUGUUAAGUCAGUUGUGAAAGUUUGCGGCUCAACCGUAAAAUUGCAGUUGAAACUGGCAGUCUUGAGUACAGUAGAGGUGGGCGGAAUGCGUGGUGUAGCGGUGAAAUGCUUAGAUAUCACGAAGAACCCCGAUUGCGAAGGCAGUUCACUGGACUGCAACUGACACUGAGGCUCGAAAGUGUGGGUAUCAAACAGGAUUAGAUACCCCAGUAGUC